RNAcentral lists this ribosomal RNA (253 nucleotides) under uncultured bacterium. RNAcentral's name for it is "partial 16S ribosomal RNA". It matches the Rfam family "Bacterial small subunit ribosomal RNA", at positions 524 to 776 of the family's 1533-position model. The record is from RNAcentral.
UACGUAGGGUGCAAGCGUUAAUCGGAAUUACUGGGCGUAAAGCGUGCGCAGGCGGUUGUGCAAGACAGAUGUGAAAUCCCCGGGCUCAACCUGGGAACUGCAUUUGUGACUGCACGGCUAGAGUGUGUCAGAGAGGGGUAGAAUUCCACGUGUAGCAGUGAAAUGCGUAGAUAUGUGGAGGAAUACCGAUGGCGAAGGCAGCCCCCUGGGAUAACACUGACGCUCAUGCGCGAAAGCGUGGGGAGCAAACAGG